GUUUAAAUAGCUUAAUUUAGAGCAUAGUAUUGAAGAUACUAGGGUAAUUGGUUAUAAAUUUUUAAAUA
RNAcentral lists this transfer RNA (68 nucleotides) under Dryocoetes villosus. RNAcentral's name for it is "tRNA-Phe". Lineage: Eukaryota; Metazoa; Arthropoda; Insecta; Coleoptera; Curculionidae. The record is from RNAcentral.